Molecule: ribosomal RNA, 255 nt
Filed under: uncultured bacterium
Lineage: Bacteria
Description: partial 16S ribosomal RNA
Rfam family: Bacterial small subunit ribosomal RNA
Source: RNAcentral
GACGUAGGGCGCGAGCGUUGUCCGGAUUUAUUGGGCGUAAAGAGCUCGUAGGCGGCUCGUUGCGUCAACCGUGAAAACCCGGGGCUUAACUUCGGGCUUGCGGUUGAUACGGGCGGGCUGGAGUUCGGUAGGGGAGACUGGAAUUCCUGGUGUAGCGGUGAAAUGCGUAGAUAUCGUAAGGAAGACCAGUGGCGAAGGCGGGUCUCUGGACAGUUCCGUGACGCUGAGGCACGAAGGUCAGGGGGAGCAAACGGG